Nicotiana attenuata is the source of this 957-nucleotide long non-coding RNA. RefSeq lists it as uncharacterized. The transcript has 3 exons. The record is from RefSeq and is a predicted model, not a curated record. NCBI's taxonomy places the organism in Eukaryota, Viridiplantae, Streptophyta, Magnoliopsida, Solanales, Solanaceae.
GGAAAGUAUUUUCUAUUACAUUAGGCGUACCCUUUUUUUUCUUUUUUUCAAUCUCAUUCUUCUCUUUCUCUCCAUUAUCUUGGCAGACCAAUUUUCCCCCAUUUUCAGAAAUCAGAGCUUUCACUAAGCUCAUGCAAAAUCGGAAAAGUCUUUAAAAAGACCAGCUACUCAAGAUGAGGUAUUUGAGCAUACACAUAUGAAGAAGCUAAAGGAUGGAACAAAGACAACUUGGAUCGAGCCACGGGCCGAGACAACCUAUAAUACUUUCAAACAAUCCUUGGAGGAGUUCAUUCAAAGCCAACCAACUGAUGAUCAAGGAAAGCCAAUCCAACCAUCCCAGGAGAAUCAUAUGGACUUGUGGAUUAAGGCGGCUGGUGGCGUACAUAAGGGAAGAGUUUACGGCCUUGGAUCAGAGUUUAGUUCUAGUCGUCGGUCUUUUGGAUCUGGUGGCUCUUCUUCUCAAGGUCCUUGAUUAAUCAGGAUGAGUUUGAGCUAUUGAAUAAAAGAAUAGCAGAGAUCACUGAGUUGUAUGCACAGGAAAGGGCUGCGCGGGAGGAGGAAAAGCGAAGGGAGGAAGAAGAUAGGAGGAGGGAGGAAGAGGAGAGGCAGAGGGAUGAAGAAAUGAGGCGAAAGGAUGCUGCAUUUACCCGUGUCACUGGUGACGUUGAAAGCCUCAAGGCCCAGCUAAACUACCUCUUAGCAUCUGGUGGAUUUCCUGUGCCACGUUCUCCAUCACGCUCUAACAAGACUAAGGAAUAGUUUCUUUUAUUAAUAUGAUUUUGGGUAGGACUAUGACGUUGGAUGUUAUGUAUCAAUUGGAUAAGAUUGAAUUCUUAUUUGAAUGUUUAGUUGCAUUAUCGGUUUCCAGUAUUUUUAGUUUUGGUUGGUUGUUAAUUAACGAAAUGGAUUGGAAGAUGCUGAUUUUUGUGUGUGAAUAUUUAAUUGUAUUUAGGUUGU